RNAcentral lists this unclassified non-coding RNA (332 nucleotides) under soil metagenome. RNAcentral's name for it is "partial contains 5.8S ribosomal RNA, internal transcribed spacer 2, and large subunit ribosomal RNA". The stretch from base 1 to 120 matches the Rfam family "5.8S ribosomal RNA", at positions 35 to 154 of the family's 154-position model. The record is from RNAcentral.
GAUGAAGAACGUAGCAAAAUGCGAUAAGUAAUGUGAAUUGCAGAAUUCAGUGAAUCAUCGAAUCUUUGAACGCGCAUUGCGCCCGCCAGUAUUCUGGCGGGCAUGCCUGUUCGAGCGUCAUUUCAACCCUCAAGCACAGCUUGGUGUUGGGACUCGCGUUAAUUCGCGUUCCUCAAAUUGAUUGGCGGUCACGUCGAGCUUCCAUAGCGUAGUAGUAAAACCCUCGUUACUGGUAAUCGUCGCGGCCACGCCGUUAAACCCCAACUUCUGAAUGUUGACCUCGGAUCAGGUAGGAAUACCCGCUGAACUUAAGCAUAUCAAUAAGCGGAGGA